GCUGGGUGUGGUGGUGCACACCUGUAAUCCCAGCUACUUGGGAGGCUGAGGUGGGAGAAUUGCUUGAGUCCAGAAAGGUCAAGGCUGCAGUGAGCCUCUGCACACACCACUGCACUCCAGCCUGAGCAACAGAGCGAGACCCUGUCUCAA
RNAcentral lists this non-coding RNA (150 nucleotides) under Homo sapiens (human). The record is from Rfam by way of RNAcentral. Lineage: Eukaryota; Metazoa; Chordata; Mammalia; Primates; Hominidae.